GAGCUCCCGCCUCCCAUUGGCUCCAAGGAGCUUCACUCCGGCUCUCAGCGAACGAUCCGCGGGAGGAAGCGGAAGGAACCCGUGGGCCCGCUGACGGUGCUAUGGCGGGUGCUGGUGAACUUGCGGGCGGGGACCCCAGUGCAGGCCGCGAGCCUGGGAACCUGUCUGGCGUGCGGCACAUCAUCCUGGUCCUCUCAGGGAAGGGGGGCGUUGGGAAAAGCACCAUCUCCACAGAACUGGCCCUGGCACUGCGCCACCAGGGCAAGAAGGUGGGGAUCCUGGAUGUGGACCUGUGUGGCCCCAGCAUUCCACGCAUGCUCCGGGCACAGGGCAAGGCCGUGCACCAGUGUGACAGUGGCUGGGUGCCUGUCUUUGUGGACCAGGAGCAGAGCAUCUCUCUCAUGUCCGUGGGCUUCCUGCUGGAGAACCCGGACGAGGCCGUGGUGUGGAGAGGGCCCAAGAAGAGUGCGCUGAUAAAGCAGUUUGUGUCUGAUGUGGCUUGGGGAGAGCUGGACUACCUGGUUGUGGACACACCGCCCGGUACCUCUGAUGAGCACAUGGCCACUGUGGAAGCCCUACGCCCCUACAGGCCCCUGGGGGCCCUCAUGGUCACCACUCCACAGGCGGUGUCCGUGGGGGAUGUGAGGCGGGAAUUGACCUUCUGUAGGAAGACGGGGCUGCAGGUGAUGGGGGUCGUGGAGAACAUGAGCGGCUUCGCCUGCCCACACUGCGCCGCGUGCACCAACAUUUUCUCCAGGGGUGGUGGGGAGGAACUGGCUCGGCGAGCGGGAGUUCCCUUCUUAGUCCCCAGGGGGACCCAGCACCUUUCCAGAGGCUGGCCGGCCCUGGAUGGAGCUGCGUGGACAUGUCUACCGGGCCGUCUGUCAGCCCGAGUUCUGAGAUGUGUUUGAAAGCGCAUUCUGGCUGCAAGUUGCGAGUAUCUUCUCUGGUGCUGUGACUGGCCUCAUGCUGCUUCGCUCUCUAGAAGCCUGCGGGGACCACGUGUCGCCUGCAUGCCGCCCUCACCUGCACCCUCCUGAAGCCGCGCCAUGCUGUGUGAUUCCUGUGCUCAGCACUCCCAGCAAGCACACCAGCAGUGGCCUCAGAAAAUGUGUGGACCACGUGGAGCGGCCAGUCCAGCUGAGCACUUGUGCCCAGGUCCUCCCACAGGGCUCGCUCCAUGGGCUGUCAGCUGGGGCACUGCGCCCACUGUGCCAGUGCAGGGUGUGCCCGGUCCAUUUGCCUGGCAGAUCUUGGGGACUGCUGGGGCCCAGGCUCUGGGAUGGCACCUCCUGAGCCUGCAGGGUGACACUGGGUGGCUUAUUUGGUGGUGUUCUUUAGCUGUUCUGAUAAUCCUUCUCUGGUAGCUAGUGGGCUGAAUGUCUUUUGUGUUUACGGGCCAAUUCGUAUUUCUUCAUUGAAAUAGUGUAUUUUUUGCCUAUUUUUAAUUGGAUUGUUUAUAUUCUCAUAACUGAGUUUAGCACUAUAGAUUUGACUUAUUACAGAUCACUUGAUGUGAAAUUUGCCAUCUCUUCCAGUCUGGGCUUGUCUACUGUCAAAAGUCUAGUCCUUUGAAGUACGGAAGACUUUCACUUGCAGAGAACCGGAGUCCCCGCGUCUCUUGCUCCUCGGAGUCUGGGUGUUGCCAACAGCCCCGCCAGAGCCUGUCGCCCUCUCAGCUUGUAGCCUGGGCCCUUCCUCAGUGCUGGGGUCCCACUUGAGUGCAUUUGCAAGUGAGGAGGGUGCCUGGGGCUCAGCCUUCCAUGUCUGGACGUCCGUGUUGGCAGGCCGACUGCCCAGCGCCUUCUCUAGACUUCGGCUCGGACCCUCGCCUCGAGUGGCCCACGCCUCAUCUCUGGUGUGUGAUGAUUCCUGGAAUCAGGUGUUCUGAGGCCCUACGACUUUCCCCCAAGUCGUUUUGGUUCCCUGCGCUUCCAUGUGCACUUAGAAAGCCCUGCUGGAUCUUGCUGGCUGCACUGGACUGCAGAUGGGCUCAGGAGAACUGACCUCUCGACAGUGGCCUUCCGACCAUGAGCAGGAGGCCUUUCCUUUCCUUGGUCUUAUUUUGGAGGUGC
This is an RNA transcript of Sciurus carolinensis (gray squirrel), 2075 nucleotides long. It is a transcript of the gene named NUBP iron-sulfur cluster assembly factor 2, cytosolic, with no coding region annotated. The transcript is spliced from 8 exons. The record is from RefSeq and is a predicted model, not a curated record. NCBI's taxonomy places the organism in Eukaryota, Metazoa, Chordata, Mammalia, Rodentia, Sciuridae.